UAUCUUGACAUUUAUUAAAUAUUGCUAUACAAUGACUAGGUGUACUUUGAUACGCUAUGGCAAUAAAAUUACCUUAUAAUAAGUGUAUUGGACCCGAGGGCAGUGCUCGGCGCCUCCACCAUAUUUUUAAUUUACAUGGGGGCGAAUUAAGAGUAGACAUACAUAGUAAAGAUGGUAACUUUGCUCGGUUAGAUACCACCGCUAAGAGUUCAUAAUUUAAAUGCAAACGAUAAUUUUGCUGCUGAAAACGAUGUUGCGGUAGCUGCUUAAUUUAAGCACUAUAACUGCAUUGCUAUAAGCACGGUUUAGGGAACGCCGGGUAACAGAAGUUUCCCAAA
RNAcentral lists this transfer-messenger RNA (338 nucleotides) under Wolbachia endosymbiont of Litomosoides sigmodontis. It matches the Rfam family "Alphaproteobacteria transfer-messenger RNA". From Rfam's summary of the family: Bacterial tmRNA, also known as 10Sa RNA or SsrA, is named for its dual tRNA and mRNA-like properties. Its role is to liberate the mRNA from a stalled ribosome. The record is from RNAcentral. Lineage: Bacteria; Pseudomonadati; Pseudomonadota; Alphaproteobacteria; Rickettsiales; Anaplasmataceae.